This 253-nucleotide ribosomal RNA is filed under the name uncultured Prevotellaceae bacterium. Its description in RNAcentral is "partial 16S ribosomal RNA". It matches the Rfam family "Bacterial small subunit ribosomal RNA", at positions 524 to 776 of the family's 1533-position model. The record is from RNAcentral. Lineage: Bacteria; Pseudomonadati; Bacteroidota; Bacteroidia; Bacteroidales; Prevotellaceae.
UACGGAAGGUCCGGGCGUUAUCCGGAUUUAUUGGGUUUAAAGGGAGCGUAGGCCGGCUUUUAAGUCAGCUGUGAAAGUCCGCGGCUCAACCGUGGAAUUGCAGUUGAAACUGGAGGCCUUGAGUGCACACAGGGGUGCCGGAAUUCAUGGUGUAGCGGUGAAAUGCUUAGAUAUUGCGCAGAACUCCGAUUGCGAAGGCAGCAUACCGGCGGCGAUCUGACGCUGAGGCACGAAAGCGUGGGUAUCGAACAGG